This is a long non-coding RNA of Strigops habroptila (Kakapo), 1247 nucleotides long. The record is from Ensembl. Lineage: Eukaryota; Metazoa; Chordata; Aves; Psittaciformes; Psittacidae.
UUUUUUUUCCUUUACUUUAUUACUUCACAUUCUAAAAGAACUUUCCUUCACAUACUAAAAGAACAUUUACUUGAAAGCAGAAUGCAAGUCCAUCUGUUCUUGCAACUUAUUCCUACCUGAAGCUAUAAUCUGCAGUUCGUGACAUCACAUCUAUUGCCAUACCCGCUGGCUAUACGUCAUGAACAGAAGAUGGGAACUUUGCUAGCAAAUAAACAGGCAGAGCAGCAGAGCUCCUCAGCAGCAAAGUUCCUGCUUUCAUGUUUAAUGUGUUGUACCAAUAAAAAGGGAAGAAUUUAAAUCCCUCCAAUACGAGGUACAGAAAUGGAACUAUCAGAGAUAAAUUACAUUUCAAAGUUUUGCAUAAGGUGUCAAAGAGCCUUUUCCAUGUAAAUGAGCCACUGCGGCACCCCUAAGGGUAUCCAUCCUAAAGACGCUGUCAGCUGCGAAAUACGCCCCAGAUGCCACUGCCUCUCGUUAGCCAGACCUGCGCAGAUCAGCCACCUCCAGCUCUUCUUUCAUCCAGGUGAGCUGGCUCCUGUGACCUCCGUACAGCUGCACAUACUCCCCUCUCCUCUCCCCCGCGAGCCAUGCUUCCCUAGUCCCACUCGGGGCAGCUGGGAGCACCUCACGGCUCGCAGGACGGGAGGUCACGGGCUUUCUCCCGCAGGUGACCCCCUCGAGGCCCGCCGCCGCCACCUGCCCAGGCCGUGCCCGGGGCACCGCGCCCUCCCGACGGCCGGGGAGCGGCGGGGAGCGCUGACCACCCCCGAGGUCUGCGGGGACCACGCACCCGGCGCCGCCGCAAAGCCCCGCCAAGGCCGAUCCGCCCCCUGCGGCCGGCGCCGCAGCAAGCGCGGCUCAAGGUCUACCCAUGAAGGACGCGAGGGGCCGGCUCCGGCCGCUUUUGGUUCUCCUUCAGACGUGCCCCGCCGCGCCUCCCGGAGCACGCCCGCGCCCCCCGCCGCUCCCGCCUUCAGAAACAGCCCCGGCCCCGCCGAGCCCUGCGGCGAUCAGGCCUCUGUCCGCGGGGCCUGCGACUGCGGUGGGCGACCGCCCCUGGGCCCGGAGCCCCCCGUCCGCCGGCACCAGCCGGGGCACAGAGCGGCCGAACCGAGCCGAGGCUCCCGAGGCCGCAGCAAGGGGUGGGAGGGCAGCGAGGGCCCCUGUCCGCCCUCGCCGGACCCUCCGCAGCCUCCGCCACCGCGCCGACCCCUCCGCCGGCGCCCGGAGCCGGAACUUACCGCCGA